UACGAAGGGAGCUAGCGUUGUUCGGAAUUACUGGGCGUAAAGGGCGCGUAGGCGGCUUUGUAAGUCAGAUGUGAAAGCCCCGGGCUCAACCUGGGAACUGCAUUUGAUACUGCAAGGCUAGAGAUCGAGAGAGGAAAGUGGAAUUACGAGUGUAGAAGUGAAAUUCGUAGAUAUUCGUAGGAACACCAGUGGCGAAGGCGACUUUCUGGCUCGAUACUGACGCUAAAGCGCGAAAGCGUGGGGAGCAAACAGG
RNAcentral lists this ribosomal RNA (253 nucleotides) under uncultured bacterium. Its description in RNAcentral is "partial 16S ribosomal RNA". It matches the Rfam family "Bacterial small subunit ribosomal RNA", at positions 524 to 776 of the family's 1533-position model. The record is from RNAcentral.